AUGUCCACUGAAGUGGAUGUCUUGGACGGGUUGGUAGAAAGUUUGUUGAUGAAGAGAAGAAUAAUGUCUGUAUGUGGGAUGACGGGACCAGGGCUUGGUCUGUCUGUGUUCCUGUUGGCUCUGCUUCAUCUUCAAUGCUCAGCCCAGAACAACUACACUACGCUCCCAAAUAACGUAUCAGUGGCUGUUGGCAAGCCUGCUGCCUUCCAGUGUGGUGUGUCCCCUCCUAGACAACUCAACUUCACUCUCUAUGGUAGCCAUAGAAACAUAACCCUCAUCUGCCCAGGAGACCACACUGAGUAUCUGGCUGCCCAGUCAAUAAAAGGGUACUGUGAUAACACAGGUAAGGAGCUCUUUGCAAUAUGGCUUAUCAGUGGGACAUCCCGCUCUGACAACCACACACGUGUGGUAUGUGAGAGCUCAGGACGACCACUAGUGGAUGGAUACCUCUGGGUGUACGAGGACGGCAGUUACUUUGCCACCCUCAUUGGCUGCGUCAUUGGUGGUUUCUUUGGUAUCCUCAUCGUCUUUGGUCUGUCAUACACUGUGCUCAGGAGAUCUGAGAGGUUCCAGCUCUGUUUCAGUAAGUACCUCUCUCCUUCAGCCCUAACAGAGGAUGGACCAGAGAAUGAUGCAGCGUGA
This is a long non-coding RNA of Oncorhynchus mykiss (rainbow trout), 642 nucleotides long. Lineage: Eukaryota; Metazoa; Chordata; Actinopteri; Salmoniformes; Salmonidae. The record is from Ensembl.